UGGUGGGUAGUUUGACUGGGGCGGUCUCCUCCUAAAGAGUAACGGAGGAGCACGAAGGUUGGCUAAUCCUGGUCGGACAUCAGGAGGUUAGUGCAAUGGCAUAAGCCAGCUUGACUGCGAGCGUGACGGCGCGAGCAGGUGCGAAAGCAGGUCAUAGUGAUCCGGUGGUUCUGAAUGGAAGGGCCAUCGCUCAACGGAUAAAAGGUACUCCGGGGAUAACAGGCUGAUACCGCCCAAGAGUUCAUAUCGACGGCGGUGUUUGGCACCUCGAUGUCGGCUCAUCACAUCCUGGGGCUGAAGUAGGUCCCAAGGGUAUGGCUGUUCGCCAUUUAAAGUGGUACGCGAGCUGGGUUUAGAACGUCGUGAGACAGUUCGGUCCCUAUCUGCCGUGGGCGCUGGAGAACUGA
RNAcentral lists this ribosomal RNA (407 nucleotides) under Escherichia coli. RNAcentral describes it as "partial 23S ribosomal RNA". It matches the Rfam family "Bacterial large subunit ribosomal RNA", at positions 2259 to 2665 of the family's 2925-position model. RNAcentral also lists the same sequence under 1 other name. Lineage: Bacteria; Pseudomonadati; Pseudomonadota; Gammaproteobacteria; Enterobacterales; Enterobacteriaceae. The record is from RNAcentral.